GUGGGGAAUAUUGGACAAUGGGCGAAAGCCUGAUCCUGCCAUGCCGCGUGUGUGAAGAAGGUCUUCGGAUUGUAAAGCACUUUAAGUUGGGCGGAAGGGCAGUAAGUUAAUACCUUGCUGUUUUGACGUUACCAAAAGAAUAAGCACCGGCUAACUUCGUGCCAGCAGCCGCGGUAAUACGAAGGGUGCAAGCGUUAAUCGGAAUUACUGGGCGUAAAGCGCGCGUAGGUGGUUUUGUAAGUUGGAGGUGAAAUCCCCGGGCUCAACCUGGGAACUGCCUCCAAAACUGCAUGACUAGAGUACGGUAGAGGGUAGUGGAAUUUCCUGUGUAGCGGUGAAAUGCGUAGAUAUAGGAAGGAACACCAGUGGCGAAGGCGACUACCUGGACUGAUACUGACACUGAGGUGCGAAAGCGUGGUGAGCAAACAGGAUUAGAAACCCGUGUAGUCC
Molecule: ribosomal RNA, 450 nt
Filed under: uncultured bacterium
Lineage: Bacteria
Description: bacterial SSU rRNA
Rfam family: Bacterial small subunit ribosomal RNA
Source: RNAcentral